GAGUUGUAAUUUGCAGAGGAUGCUUCGGGUACAGCGUCGGUCUAAGUUCCUUGGAACAGGACGUCUUAGAGGGUGAGAAUCCCGUACGCGACCGACCGCCACGCCCAUGUGAAGCUCCUUCGACGAGUCGAGUUGUUUGGGAAUGCAUCUCAAAAUGGGUGGUAAAUUCCAUCUAAAGCUAAAUAUUGGCCAGAGACCGAUAGCGCACAAGUAGAGUGAUCGAAAGAUGAAAAGCACUUUGGAAAGAGAGUUAAACAGUACGUGAAAUUGUUGAAAGGGAAGCGCUUGCGACCAGACUUGCCCGCGGGUGAUCAACCGGUGUUCUCACCGGUGCACUCGCCCGUGGUCAGGCCAGCAUCGGUUCAGGCGGCCGGACAAAGGCCCUCGGAAUGUAGCUCCCUCCGGGGAGUGUUAUAGCCGGGGGUGCAAUGCGGCCCGCCUGGACCGAGGACCGCGCUUCGUGCUAGGAUGCUGGCGUAAUGGUCGUAAGCGACCCGUCUUGAAACACGGACCAAGGAGUCUAACAUCUAUGCGAGUGUUCGGGUGUCAAACCCGUGCGCGUAAUGAAAGUGAACGGAGGUGGGAACCUGUAACAGGGCGCACCAUCGACCGAUCCUGAUGUCUUCGGAUGGAUUUGAGUAAGAGCAUAGCUGUUGGGACCCGAAAGAUGGUGAACUAUGCCUGAAUAGGGUGAAGCCAGAGGAAACUCUGGUGGAGGCUCGCAGCGGUUCUGACGUGCAAAUCGAUCGUCAAAUUUGGGUAUA
RNAcentral lists this ribosomal RNA (764 nucleotides) under unidentified. RNAcentral describes it as "Trimatothelopsis sp. EH-2022a partial large subunit ribosomal RNA". It matches the Rfam family "Eukaryotic large subunit ribosomal RNA", at positions 140 to 919 of the family's 3401-position model. The record is from RNAcentral.